RNAcentral lists this transfer RNA (92 nucleotides) under Alphaproteobacteria bacterium. Its description in RNAcentral is "tRNA-Ser". It matches the Rfam family "tRNA". From Rfam's summary of the family: Transfer RNA (tRNA) molecules are approximately 80 nucleotides in length. Their secondary structure includes four short double-helical elements and three loops (D, anti-codon, and T loops). RNAcentral also lists the same sequence under 2 other names. Lineage: Bacteria; Pseudomonadati; Pseudomonadota; Alphaproteobacteria. The record is from RNAcentral.
GGAGAGGUGGCCGAGUGGCUGAAGGCGACGGUUUGCUAAACCGUUAUAGGUGGUAACAUCUAUCGUGGGUUCGAAUCCCAUCCUCUCCGCCA